AAAGGGAGACCUAAUUCAGGUAUAAGACGAAAAAAAAGUAGUCCCUACCAAGAAUCAAUCCCAAAAGGUCGGAACGAGGUAUGAGGCUUUCAAACUAGGUUCUGGGUUCAUAAAAGACCUGAAUCAGGAACAAGGGCUAUUAGCUCAGGUGGUUAGAGCGCACCCCUGAUAAGGGUGAGGUCCCUGGUUCGAGUCCAGGAUGGCCCACCUGCACAGGUGGCAAAAACAAGAGAAGCGAGGAAUCAGCACCUUAUCUUAUAUACAUAUAUAAGAGAGAAUGCUGGCUCUGAGUACAGAGUCCAGAGGAACCUUGAAAACUGCAUAGAGCUAGGUGAAAAAGCCAAAAAAGAAGACCGCAAG
This 360-nucleotide transfer RNA is filed under the name uncultured Microcystis sp. RNAcentral's name for it is "partial 16S-23S ribosomal RNA intergenic spacer". The stretch from base 134 to 207 matches the Rfam family "tRNA". Lineage: Bacteria; Bacillati; Cyanobacteriota; Cyanophyceae; Chroococcales; Microcystaceae. The record is from RNAcentral.